RNAcentral lists this long non-coding RNA (391 nucleotides) under Homo sapiens (human). Its description in RNAcentral is "long intergenic non-protein coding RNA 1934". The record is from RNAcentral. Lineage: Eukaryota; Metazoa; Chordata; Mammalia; Primates; Hominidae.
AAGUCACCUGGAUGAAUCUCCAGAGAAUUAUGCUGAGUGAAAAGAGCCAAGCCCAAAGAUGACCUACUGUUCGAUUCCAUUUAUAUAACGUUCGUGAAAUGCUCUGCCUAUGCUGGACUUGAAGCUUUCUGUCUGUCAAAAAAUAAAAGAAGAUGGAAGGAAGGAUGUACAGAAGGAAGAAAAAAAAAAGAAAGAACCUGUGACUAUGAAGCAACACCCAAAGCCACUGUCAGAUGUCAUGGAGAUGAGACCUCACAAGAAGGCCAGAAAACAACAGACUAACUCCGGAUAUGACAAACUCUUUAUAAAUACUUAUAAGUACUGUUGGCUACAAUAGUUCUAAAGCCUUAACAAAUGAUGUUGAAGCAAAAUGAAUAAUGAUUAUUCCUAU